GCUGCAGAAGAGGGUCAAACAAAUGGAGAGACAUUCUAGAUGCUGUUUACCUCACACAUAGAUCGUAUUACAUCUACGAAUAUAUAGGAUAUAUUUGCUCCCUUCUCUAUCCGAUUUUUCCUGACCUGUAACGGCCCGCGUUGGGAUGUAUGGCAGCGGCUGCUGCUGCGGCUGCAGCUCCGGCAGCGGCAUUCGUGGGGAAUGCCCGACCGCCUCGGGUGUUCUGUGGCGCUAUGUAGGCGGCCAGUGGCUGCAUACUGUUCUUGUUGCUGCUGGGAUUGUUAGCAAACUUGACGGUUAUCGGUUCGGUGGAGUUCUUCGGAGUGGUGCCGUUCAGCUCCUUAAUGGCCCGAUCGGCCUCAAAGCGCUGAUCGAAGCG
This is a long non-coding RNA of Drosophila miranda, 379 nucleotides long. RefSeq lists it as uncharacterized. The transcript has 2 exons. The record is from RefSeq and is a predicted model, not a curated record. NCBI's taxonomy places the organism in Eukaryota, Metazoa, Arthropoda, Insecta, Diptera, Drosophilidae.